ACAAUGGGGGGUACAGCGGGAUGCCACGCGGCGACGCGGCGCGGAACCCGAAAUCCCCCUCAGUUCGGAUCGGAGUCUGCAACCCGACUCCGUGAAGCUGGAUUCGCUAGUAAUCGCGCAUCAGCCAUGGCGCGGUGAAUACGUUCCCGGGCCUUGUACACACCGCCCGUCAAGCCAUGGGAGCCGGGAGUGCCUGAAGUGCGUGACCGUAAAAGGAGCGCCCUAGGGCAAGACCGGUGACUGGGGCUAAGUCGUAACAAGGUAAC
RNAcentral lists this ribosomal RNA (266 nucleotides) under uncultured bacterium. RNAcentral's name for it is "partial 16S ribosomal RNA". It matches the Rfam family "Bacterial small subunit ribosomal RNA", at positions 1227 to 1500 of the family's 1533-position model. The record is from RNAcentral.